GACGAACGCUGGCGGCGUGCUUAACACAUGCAAGUCGAACGGAAAGGCCCUGCUUGCUGGGUACUCGAGUGGCGAACGGGCGAGUAACACGUGGGUGAUCUGCCCUGCACUUCGGGAUAAGCCUGGGCAACUGGGUCCAAUACCGGAUAGGAGCCAUUUUUUGCGGGAUGGUUGGAAAGUUUUUUUCGGGGUAGGGUGAGUUGGCGGCCUAUCGGCUUUUUGGUGGGGUAAUGGCCUACCAGGGCGGGGACGGGUUGCCGGACUGUGGGGGUGGACGGCGACAUUGACACUGACGUGAGGCCCAGGCGGCUACUGGAGGCCGAAGUGGGGAAGAUUGCACAAGCGGCGCCAGGCUGAUGCAGAGACGCCGCGGGGGGGAUAACGGCCUUCGGGUUGAAAAAUCCUUUCGCUAGGAACGAAGCUUUUUGUGACGGUACCUAGAUAAGAAGCACCGGCUAACUACGUG
RNAcentral lists this ribosomal RNA (466 nucleotides) under uncultured bacterium. Its description in RNAcentral is "partial 16S ribosomal RNA". It matches the Rfam family "Bacterial small subunit ribosomal RNA", at positions 28 to 507 of the family's 1533-position model. The record is from RNAcentral.